UACGAAGGGGGCUAGCGUUGCUCGGAAUCACUGGGCGUAAAGGGUGCGUAGGUGGCGCGCUAAGUCAGGUGUGAAAUUUCGGAGCUUAACUCCGAAACUGCAUUUGAUACUGGCGUGCUUGAGGACUGGAGAGGAGACUGGAAUUCAUGGUGUAGCAGUGAAAUGCGUAGAGAUCAUGAGGAAGACCAGUGGCGAAGGCGGGUCUCUGGACAGUUCCUGACACUGAGGCACGAAGGCCAGGGGAGCAAACGGG
RNAcentral lists this ribosomal RNA (253 nucleotides) under uncultured bacterium. Its description in RNAcentral is "partial 16S ribosomal RNA". It matches the Rfam family "Bacterial small subunit ribosomal RNA", at positions 524 to 776 of the family's 1533-position model. The record is from RNAcentral.